Molecule: ribosomal RNA, 460 nt
Filed under: uncultured bacterium
Lineage: Bacteria
Description: partial 16S ribosomal RNA
Rfam family: Bacterial small subunit ribosomal RNA
Source: RNAcentral
CCUACGAGAGGCAGCAGUGAGGAAUAUUGGUCAAUGGGCGCGAGCCUGAACCAGCCAAGUAGCGUGAAGGAUGACUGCCCUACGGGUUGUAAACUUCUUUUAUAAAGGAAUAAAGUGAGGCACGUGGGCCUUUUUGUAGGUACUUUAUGAAUAAGGAUCGGCAAACUCCGUGCCAGCAGCCGCGGUACUACGGAGGAUCCGAGCGUUAUCCGGAUUUAUUGGGUUUAAAGGGAGCGUAGAUGGGUUGUUAAGUCAGUUGUGAAAGUUUGCGGCUCAACAGUAAAAUUGCAAUUGAUACUGGCAGUCUUGAGUACAGUUGAGGUAGGCGGAAUUCGUGGUGUAGCGGUGAAAUGCGUAGAUAUCACGAAGAACUCCGAUUGCGAAGGCAGCUUACUAAACUGCCACUGACAUUGAUGCUCGAAAGUGUGGGUAUCAAACAGGAUUAGAUACCCUGGUAGUC